GAUGAAGAACGCAGCGAACGUGCGAAACGUAAUGUGAAUUGCAGAAUUCAGUGAAUCAUCGAAUCUUUGAACGCAUCUUGCGCUCCUUGGUAUUCCGAGGAGCAUGCCUGUUUGAGUGUCGUGAAUACUCUCAACUUCAACCCUUUUUUCGGAAAGGGAGGAAGGUUGGACUUGGGUGUUUGUUGAAGUGCGAGCUUCGACUCAUCCUAAAUGCAUUAGCGAUCUGCCUCGAUCACACACAAUGUGAUAAUUAAAACUAAAGCAUUGUUUAAUGAUCAAGUCGAGACUGCUUCUAACUGUCGAAAGACAAUAACGUGCAUACAUUUGUGCAUGUCAUUUGACCUCAAAUCAGGUAGGACUACCCGCUGAACUUAAGCAUAUCAAUAAGCGGAGGA
This 395-nucleotide unclassified non-coding RNA is filed under the name soil metagenome. RNAcentral's name for it is "partial contains 5.8S ribosomal RNA, internal transcribed spacer 2, and large subunit ribosomal RNA". The stretch from base 1 to 121 matches the Rfam family "5.8S ribosomal RNA", at positions 35 to 154 of the family's 154-position model. The record is from RNAcentral.